UAAUACCGGAUAGUUCCUUGAACCGCAUGGUUCAAGGAUGAAAGACGGUUUCGGCUGUCACUUACAGAUGGACCCGCGGCGCAUUAGCUAGUUGGUGAGGUAACGGCUCACCAAGGCGACGAUGCGUAGCCGACCUGAGAGGGUGAUCGGCCACACUGGGACUGAGACACGGCCCAGACUCCUACGGGAGGCAGCAGUAGGGAAUCUUCCGCAAUGGACGAAAGUCUGACGGAGCAACGCCGCGUGAGUGAUGAAGGUUUUCGGAUCGUAAAGCUCUGUUGUUAGGGAAGAACAAGUGCAAGAGUAACUGCUUGCACCUUGACGGUACCUAACCAGAAAGCCACGGCUAACUACGUGCCAGCAGCCGCGGUAAUACGUAGGUGGCAAGCGUUGUCCGAAAUUAUUGGGCGUAAAGGGCUCGCAGGCGGUUUCUUAAGUCUGAUGUGAAAGCCCCCGGCUC
This 460-nucleotide ribosomal RNA is filed under the name Bacillus aerius. RNAcentral describes it as "bacterial SSU rRNA". It matches the Rfam family "Bacterial small subunit ribosomal RNA", at positions 164 to 610 of the family's 1533-position model. The record is from RNAcentral. Lineage: Bacteria; Bacillati; Bacillota; Bacilli; Caryophanales; Bacillaceae.